AAAGAAAAGUUACUAAGAGCGUAUGGCGGAUGCCUUGGCUCUCAGAGGCGAUGAAGGACGUGACUAGCUGCGAUAAGCUUCGGGGAAGUGCUAAAUAACUAUUAUAUCCGAAGAUUUCCGAAUGGGGCAACCCAAUACUGUGAAGCAGUAUUAUCAGUCUUUUGACUGAAGCAAACCCGGUGAACUGAAACAUCUAAGUAACCGGAGGAAAAGAAAACAAAUGUGAUUCCCUGAGUAGAGGCGAUCGAAACGGGAACAGCCCAAACCGAUAUUGUUUAGGCAAUAGCGGUGUUGUAGGACCUUGAUGUGAAGAAAAUAUUUGAAGUGGAACCGUUUUGGAAAGUUCGACCAUAGAAGGUGACAGUCCUGUACACGUAAAAAUAUUAAUUCUAAAGGUAUCCUGAGUAGCACGGAACUCGAGAAAUUCUGUGUGAAUCUGCCGGGACCAUCCGGUAAGGCUAAAUACUACUGAGAGACCGAUAGUGAACCAGUACCGUGAGGGAAAGGUGAAAAGAACUUCUGAAGAAGAGUGAAAUAGUACCUGAAACCAUACGCUUACAAGCGGUCGGAGUUCGUCAGCUGACGAAUGACGGCGUGCCUUUUGCAUAAUGAGCCUACGAGUUACUCCUCCCCGGCAAGGUUAAUGAAUUUAGUUCAGAAGCCGAAGCGAAAGCGAGUCUUAACAGGGCGCUUAGUCGGUGGGGGUAGACGCGAAACCCGGUGAUCUACUCAUGGCCAGGUUGAAGUAUCGGUAAAACGGUAUGGAGGACCGAACCAGUACACGUUGAAAAGUGUUUGGAUGAGCUGUGAGUAGGGGUGAAAGGCCAAUCAAACCGGGAGAUAUCUCGUACUCCCCGAAAUGCAUUUAGGUGCAGCCUCGAGGUUGAGUCUUACAGAGGUAGAGCUACUGAUAGGGCUAGAGGGCUUCACCGCCUAUCAAACCCUGACAAACUCCGAAUGCUGUAAGAUAUACUCGGGAGUGAGGGCAUGGGUGCUAAGGUCCAUGUCCGAGAGGGAAACAACCCGGACCAUCAGCUAAGGUCCCUAAAUAUAUGCUAAGUUGUUCUAACGAGGUUUGACUGCUAUAACAGCUAGGAUGUUGGCUUGGAAGCAGCCAUUCAUUUAAAGAGUGCGUAACAGCUCACUAGUCGAGCGGUCGAGCAUGGAUGAUAAUCGGGCAUAAGCAUAUUACCGAAGCUGUGGAUUUAUUCGUUUAUUCGAAUAAGUGGUAGGGGAGCAUUCAUGUUGCAUAGAAGCUGUGUGGUAAUGCAUGGUGGAGCGACAUGAAAAGAAAAUGUAGGCAUAAGUAACGAUAAUGCGGGCGAGAAACCCGCACGCCAAUAGACUAAGGUUUCCUGAUCAACGCUAAUCGGAUCGGGGUUAGUCGGGUCCUAAGGCAAACCCGAAAGGGGCAGUCGAUGGACAACAGGUUAAUAUUCCUGUACCGGCAAUUACUGCGACGGGGUGACGAAAUUGUGACAGGUCUGCGUACUGACUGAAUAGUACGUUAAAGGGUGUAGAUAUACGAACGGUAGGCAAAUCCGCCGAUCGUGUCGAACCUGAUAGUACCGUGAGUCUUCGGACAAGCGGAUAUGACCGUAACCAUAUUUCCAAGAAAAACCUCUAAGCUUCAGGUAAUUGCCGCCCGUACCGCAAACCGACACAGGUAGUCAAGUAGAGAAUACUGAGGCGCUCGAGUGAUUCAUGGCUAAGGAACUAGGCAAAAUAGCCCUGUAACUUCGGGAGAAAGGGCGCUCCACUUUUGUGGAGCCGCAGUGAAAAGAUUCUGGCGACUGUUUAUCAAAAACACAUGGCUUUGCUAAAUUGAAAGAUGAUGUAUAAGGCCUGACACCUGCCCAGUGCCGGAAGGUUAAGAGGGGGCGUUAUCUUCGGAGAAGCGCUGAAUUGAAGCCCCGGUAAACGGCGGCCGUAACUAUAACGGUCCUAAGGUAGCGAAAUUCCUUGUCGGGUAAGUUCCGACCUGCACGAAUGGUGCAACGAUCUGGGCACUGUCUCGGCCAU
Molecule: ribosomal RNA, 2022 nt
Filed under: Acidobacteriota bacterium
Lineage: Bacteria; Pseudomonadati; Acidobacteriota
Description: bacterial LSU rRNA
Rfam family: Bacterial large subunit ribosomal RNA
Source: RNAcentral